RNAcentral lists this ribosomal RNA (356 nucleotides) under Eukaryota sp. Its description in RNAcentral is "SSU rRNA". It matches the Rfam family "Eukaryotic small subunit ribosomal RNA", at positions 1325 to 1699 of the family's 1831-position model. The record is from RNAcentral.
ACGUUAACGAACGAGACCUUAACCUGCUAACUAGCGACGCGAGCCCUUGUGGCUGGUGGUCCGCUUCUUAGAGGGACUGUCGAUGUCUAAUCGACGGAAGUUUGAGGCAAUAACAGGUCUGUGAUGCCCUUAGAUGUUCUGGGCCGCACGCGCGCUACAAUGACGGAGCCAGCGAGUUGUUCACCUUGGCCGGAAGGUCCGGGGAAUCUUGUGAAACUCUGUCGUGCUGGGGAUAGUCCAUUGCAAUUAUUGGACUUGAACGAGGAAUUCCUAGUAAGCGCAAGUCAUCAGCUUGCGUUGAUUACGUCCCUGCCCUUUGUACACACCGCCCGUCGCUAAUACCGAUUGAAUGGCUG